Molecule: transfer RNA, 83 nt
Filed under: Verrucomicrobiia bacterium
Lineage: Bacteria; Pseudomonadati; Verrucomicrobiota; Verrucomicrobiia
Description: tRNA-Leu
Rfam family: tRNA
About the family: Transfer RNA (tRNA) molecules are approximately 80 nucleotides in length.
Source: RNAcentral
GCCGACGUGGCGGAAUGGUAGACGCUGCGGACUUAAAAUCCGCUGAGCCUUCGCUCGUGCGGGUUCGAGUCCCGCCGUCGGUA